Nyctereutes procyonoides (raccoon dog) is the source of this 586-nucleotide long non-coding RNA. RefSeq lists it as uncharacterized. The record is from RefSeq and is a predicted model, not a curated record. The transcript has 4 exons. Lineage: Eukaryota; Metazoa; Chordata; Mammalia; Carnivora; Canidae.
UCGCUCCUUUUGCGCGGUGGUCGGUUCGGCUGGUGUCAUGCGGCGGUGCUGUGUCGGCUCGAUGCGGCGCCCAGUCUCCUGCACCGGGGCCCUGCUGGGUGAGGGGACGGCAGCCUCGGGUUGAGCAGGAUGAGCUGCCCUUACAGACUAGAGUUUCUGAUGUGCCCGUGACGGCGCUUUUGGGAGCUGACCCAUCCCAGGGCGGAAGGGGGGCAUUAGGCUGCCGUCGCCCCCCCCCCCCCCGCUGACCUUUGGUGUCCUCCCAGACCCCUGGUCCUCGCAGGCCGAUCCGCAGCGCUACCAGGGUGUUUGAAGAUUUCCGCCGCCGUUACCCCUGAUUCAAGCUUGAUUACUCUGGAAGCCUACCUGGGGCGGUGCCCUUUCAAAGGUUAGGUACUAAUCAGAUACUGAAGGGCUGAAGUUUGUAAUAAACCCUCUUGGAUCAGUGCUAUUGAGAUGUCUGUACCCUUGGAAUGGCUCCUGCCACUCAAACCUGCAGUCUGUGAAGAGUCACGUCCUUUUUCCUUGGCUGCUAUGGGUUUUGUUCAUGCAGAGGAUGCCUCCUAUCUGGUUGGUGUUGGGCAGA